CGACGGCAAGAUUCCGUCGAUAACGAACCAAAAGGAAAUAAUGGCCAAUGAGCAAUGCGGUGGAGGCGGCUACGGAUGACGGCGGCGAUGAUAGGGAACGAAUGGCGUCGCGCGUGCACAAAGGGGAGCGGCGGAAGUCGUACAGGCGUAGAGAGGAGAGAGGGAUCGAGCGAAAGAGAGAGGUGGAUCGGGUCGGGGGG
RNAcentral lists this long non-coding RNA (200 nucleotides) under Ananas comosus (pineapple). RNAcentral describes it as "long non-coding RNA (ACOM_LNC001089)". The record is from RNAcentral. Lineage: Eukaryota; Viridiplantae; Streptophyta; Magnoliopsida; Poales; Bromeliaceae.